Molecule: long non-coding RNA, 824 nt
Organism: Magnolia sinica
Lineage: Eukaryota; Viridiplantae; Streptophyta; Magnoliopsida; Magnoliales; Magnoliaceae
Exons: 2
Source: RefSeq, a predicted model, not a curated record
GAGAUUUGAGUGAUUUUUUAUUUAAUUAGCAUCAGCUACUCAUUGAUUUAUUGGAUAGUGUCACAGCUCAAAGAAUACAUAGACGAUACCAAAGACUUCAUCAACAUUAAACUGGACAAUGUCCGAAACGAGCUGAUCCAAUUCGAGUUGCUGCUCACGGCGGCUACAUUUGUCGCUACAAUUUUUGCAGUUGUAUCAGGCGUCUUCGGGAUGAACUUUACGCCUGCAUUUUUCCAGUAUCCAGACAACUUCAUUUGGGUCCUUAUUGUAACCACCAUCUCUUGUGGUAAUAUAUGCAGCUUUCAUCUUAUAUUUCAAGCAUAAGAGAUUACUGCCUUUGUGAGUAUAGACUAUUUUUAUGGCCACUGAGCCAUGUUGUACCCGGGUUUUCAUUUUGUACAAGUGAAGCCCAUGAUUCAGUAAUCUAGACCGUUGGCCUGUUGGUACCCAACAUGGAUGGACUGUCCCCUAAAAAUCUCCUCAACCAGAGAAUCCUAGCCUUUCAAUUCUAUUGCCUGCUAAUAUAUUGUUAGUAGUCCACAUUCAACUAAUUAAAAGAACUGAGGAUUUUCCAGUCUUGGAGAUUUUUGGGUCAUGGUCUUUUCAUGGUGGGUCACAUCGGCCGGCAUUUUGGAUCUCUGAAACAUGGGCCCCACCUGUACGAGCUAAAAACCCUGAGUAUGCGUGUAUGUUCACGAACAAAUUUACGGGAAGAUUGCUUGUAUCUUGAUUGUAAUUUCAAGCAUUUUUUUCAUUCCUUGGUUUAAUAUACAUAUGAGCCAUUUUUGUCAAGAAUAUUAUAUGCUCCAGCAUUUUGCAUCUCA